RNAcentral lists this long non-coding RNA (811 nucleotides) under Amborella trichopoda. Its description in RNAcentral is "long non-coding RNA (ATRI_LNC001508)". The record is from RNAcentral. Lineage: Eukaryota; Viridiplantae; Streptophyta; Magnoliopsida; Amborellales; Amborellaceae.
GAAGGCAAGCCAGUCCCAGUCAUUGGUCAACAGUCCCAGUUUCCUAUUUUCUGUUUGGGUAAAUAGUAAUAGGUUUGAGACCUUGCCUAUAGGUUUUUUUAUCCCAAGUGCACAAAAAGAACUGAAAUGAUUUGAAACCAGCCUGACGGGAAGACACAGGUUCUCAUGUUUAUUCACCUAGGUGGGAAAUAGGGAGCUCUUUGGAGAUGGGAAUACCAGACCAGGCACAAAGCAGCGGCAAAGGGGGACUCAGUCUUUAUGGGCUGCGAUGACGUGAUGUACAAGCACGCUAGAAGCAUUUGUCAUAGGACCGUGCUCGUUCUGUUGUGCAAAGGGAGGAUUCUGACAGCAUUGUCGUAGGACCGUGCUCAUUCUGUCGUCCGCUGUACUAGUGCUCGGAGUAUCCAGUGGCUCUAGGACUUCUCCUAACUUCCGCCUUGAACCUUCAGUAGGGAGGAAGAAGACUCAGAGGCUUUCCUUCAGGGAGAAACGGGCUCCUUCAGCAAGGGAGAUGAAGUUCUUGUUCCUGACGCUUUGAAGAGCGAAUGAAGGAAGGAGCGAGACGAGAAUCGAUGAGGUUCAUCUCUCGCUCGACUCAGAUAAUGAUGAAGCUCGAGCUCAUCUCUUGUCAAGCUAUCUCCGAUGCUAAUGCUCUGCUCAGCUCUGAUACUUCAAGAAUAGUACUUGAUUUAGGAACUUGACUUCCUUCCUUGCUAGUUGGCCUUGCUGCUUGGCUUGCUUGCUUGGCUGCUUUCUCCGGUGCCAGCUCUGAAACCAGAGGUCUCUGUACCGGCUUGCUCGCCUUCCUGCC